This 24-nucleotide non-coding RNA is filed under the name Cricetulus griseus (Chinese hamster). The record is from RNAcentral. Lineage: Eukaryota; Metazoa; Chordata; Mammalia; Rodentia; Cricetidae.
AUCUCAGCCUGGAUGGUCGUUAAG